UAGGGAAUCUUCGGCAAUGGGGGCAACCCUGACCGAGCAACGCCGCGUGAGUGAAGAAGGUUUUCGGAUCGUAAAGCUCUGUUGUAAGAGAAGAACGUGUGUGAGAGUGGAAAUUCACACAGUGACGGUAACUUACCAGAAGGGACGGCUAACUACGUGCCCG
Molecule: ribosomal RNA, 163 nt
Filed under: uncultured bacterium
Lineage: Bacteria
Description: partial 16S rRNA
Rfam family: Bacterial small subunit ribosomal RNA
Source: RNAcentral